Molecule: ribosomal RNA, 460 nt
Filed under: uncultured bacterium
Lineage: Bacteria
Description: partial 16S ribosomal RNA
Rfam family: Bacterial small subunit ribosomal RNA
Source: RNAcentral
CCUACGGGUGGCAGCAGUGAGGAAUAUUGGUCAAUGGCCGGAAGGCUGAACCAGCCAUGCCGCGUGAAGGUCAGUGCUCUCUGGGCGUUAAACUUCUUUUGUGCGGGAGCAAUAAUGGUCACGUGUGGCCAGACGAGAGUACCGUACGAAUAAGCAUCGGCCAACUUCGUGCCAGCAGCCGCGGUAAUACGGGGGAUGCAAGCGUUAUCCGGAUUUAUUGGGGUUAAAGGGUGCGUAGGCUGUGAGGUAAGUCAGCGGUGAAAUGCCCCCGCUCAACGGGGUGAAGUGCCAUUGAUACUGCCUUGCUGGAAUGCGGAUGACGUGUGAGGAAUGUGUGGUGUAGCGGUGAAAUGCAUAGAUAUCGCACAGAACACCGAUUGCGAAGGCAUCUCACGAAUCCGCGAUUGACGCUGAUGCACGAAAGCGUGGGUAUCAAACAGGAUUAGAUACCCUAGUAGUC